AUUAUUAUAUUUUUUUGCUUUUCUUGAACCCCAAAACUUUUUUCUCUUUUUCCUUUUCUUGAACCCCAAACUUCUUUGAUUGAUUUUUUUUAUUUUUCUUGAACCCCGGACUUCUUUGAUUGAUUUUUUUUGUUUUUCUUGAACCCCAGAAUUUUUUGAUUUGCACGGAUGAUCCCCGAUCACCGCAUCUGAACCCCGACUGUCACUCUCGUUUGCCAAACAAUGAACCCCGUUCUCCAUUUGAACCCCAGUCGCCUGACG
This 261-nucleotide long non-coding RNA is filed under the name Lathyrus oleraceus (garden pea). RNAcentral's name for it is "Pisum sativum (pea) long non-coding RNA (PSAT_LNC015318)". The record is from RNAcentral. Lineage: Eukaryota; Viridiplantae; Streptophyta; Magnoliopsida; Fabales; Fabaceae.